UACGUAGGGUGCGAGCGUUAAUCGGAAUUACUGGGCGUAAAGCGUGCGCAGGCGGUUUUGUAAGCCGGAUGUGAAAUCCCCGGACUUAACCUGGGAAUGGCAUUCGGGACUGCAAGGCUGGAGUGCGGCAGAGGAGACUGGAAUUCCUGGUGUAGCAGUGAAAUGCGUAGAUAUCAGGAGGAACACCGAUGGCGAAGGCAGGUCUCUGGGCUGACACUGACGCUCAUGCACGAAAGCGUGGGGAGCAAACAGG
RNAcentral lists this ribosomal RNA (253 nucleotides) under uncultured bacterium. RNAcentral describes it as "partial 16S ribosomal RNA". It matches the Rfam family "Bacterial small subunit ribosomal RNA", at positions 524 to 776 of the family's 1533-position model. The record is from RNAcentral.